AGUAAUGGUUGUAUGCAAUUUCGACGAAUUUUGAAUGGUUUUGAGAAAUGACUAUACAACCCGA
This 64-nucleotide small RNA is filed under the name Drosophila erecta. RNAcentral describes it as "GG26409". The record is from RNAcentral. Lineage: Eukaryota; Metazoa; Arthropoda; Insecta; Diptera; Drosophilidae.